CAAAAAUCUCGGAGGACUUGAAUUUCCCAGCACCAGCUGAAACUGAUUCCGACAGUGAAAGCAGCAAAGACUUUGGUCCAAUCUGGUUCUGCUUGGUUGCUGCAGAAGAGAAUAAAGGAAGUGCACCAUUGCCACAACUAUCUUCGUGCUACCUACGAGUCAAGGAUGGCAGUGUAACUGUUUCCUACAUUAAAAAGUAUCUCGUGAAGAAGCUUGGUCUUGCUAGCGAAACUGAGGUGGAGAUCACAUUACAAGGGCAG
RNAcentral lists this small RNA (260 nucleotides) under Vigna angularis var. angularis. Its description in RNAcentral is "Non-protein coding transcript". The record is from RNAcentral. Lineage: Eukaryota; Viridiplantae; Streptophyta; Magnoliopsida; Fabales; Fabaceae.